This 73-nucleotide transfer RNA is filed under the name Bos taurus (domestic cattle). It matches the Rfam family "tRNA". Rfam says of the family: Transfer RNA (tRNA) molecules are approximately 80 nucleotides in length. Their secondary structure includes four short double-helical elements and three loops (D, anti-codon, and T loops). Further hydrogen bonds mediate the characteristic L-shaped molecular structure. tRNAs have two regions of fundamental functional importance: the anti-codon, which is responsible for specific mRNA codon recognition, and the 3' end, to which the tRNAs corresponding amino acid is attached (by aminoacyl-tRNA synthetases). tRNAs cope with the degeneracy of the genetic code in two manners: having more than one tRNA (with a specific anti-codon) for a particular amino acid; and 'wobble' base-pairing, i.e. permitting non-standard base-pairing at the 3rd anti-codon position. Lineage: Eukaryota; Metazoa; Chordata; Mammalia; Artiodactyla; Bovidae. The record is from Rfam by way of RNAcentral. RNAcentral also lists the same sequence under 5 other names.
UCCCUGGUGGUUCAGUGGGUAUGAUUCUGCACUUCCAAUACAGGGGGCCCAGGUUCAAUCCCUGGUCAGGGGA